CUUAUCUGCACUAUCUCAGCUGUGCCUGUCGUUUCUCCAUCUGGCAGAGGAGGAGCUGGGAGCUGCAGCAGGUGUGGUACAUGGGCUCUGCAGCUUGUUGUUCCAUUACAGUGGGUAAGCCCCGUGGUGGCUAUUAGCAAUCACUUAUAUAAAACACCAGGUCUAAAGGAUGUUUAACAGAUAAGGCAGUUUGUGAGGAGGGUGCUUGUAUGUUCCUCAGUCCUUGGGGAUUGCUAGGCUCACCCACUGGGAUCUUCCUGUUCAGAGCUUUACUUAAGAUGGAUGACAGCUAGCCAAGCCCCAGAAGAGGAGCUGGUAGGAGGGCAGCGUCAUGGACAGACACAGCUGCAGCAAAAGUUGGGGAAGAGAAAGACCAAGGGGCCAUUGUAUCACUUAAAUGGCAUUCUCUUGCUAUUCCCCUACAAUCACUGCUAUGCAGUGCAUCUCAAAUUCUUCCUGCAGUACAAACCUUUUUCUUGCUUGCUACCCUGGUCUGUCUCUAGCAGCUCCCCACAUACCCUCUAUAUGCCUCUUGCCCUAGGAUCUGUUUGAAGGAAGGCAGGGAAGACAUUGCUGCUUCCUGUGGGAUAGGGAUACCUGCUGGAGGUGAUGGAGGCUGCUGUUCUGUGUGAGGCACCUGUGUCUCCAUUUGGAAGGUGCUAUUCAUAUAUGGACCAUGCAAAACCAGCAUCACCCAAAGGGCCUGAUCCAGGAAUCUUGUGCUGUGCCUGUAGGGGGAAAAAAUCAACACAAAACACUCAGUUCAGCUACAAGCUGGAGCUGAGACUCCCAGGAGGGCCAGGAAAAACAGGCAGAAGUAAUGAGACUAAUUCAUUUAUCUUCUUGCACUGGGAACCAUCCAUAUGGCAGUAAACCAGCUAAGAGCUUUUCCUCUUUUUGCUCCAGUGCAUGCUGCUCCUCCAGCUCCACGGCUGCCACUGUUUGUAGCAUCAAGCUAUACAUGUGUAAGAUGCUCAUAAAUUACAAACAAAUACUCUGAAGGUGCACUUUGAAGCUGUGUUUGCAAAGUGCCAUGACUUUUUUCUCCCUGCACCCAUUGUAGCCACAAGGCUGAGAACAAGGUGAGUGGGAAGCAUUCAAACUCUGAGCAGUUGUAGAAACUGGAGCACUGAAUAAUACACUCCUAUUUGACCCGAGCUGAGGGUUGCUCCAUGUGCAUGCAGCAAACAAAAGUUAGCCUUAGCUUUCAUCACACUUGAGGCCAAACCCUGAUUCACUUAUGGCAGUUCUCCAAUCAACUGGGGAAGACCAGGAAUAACACACGAUCUCACUAAUGUUUCACAUAGCCGUACUUCUUAUUGCAACACGAUGAUCUUAUUAGCAGUUGGAAGGCCUCAGAAACACGCAGAACACAUGCAGGUAAUUUGGGGUUUCCAGUCUUGGGAAUGUUUGUGCCCAUUGAUGUCAGUGGGAUAGCUACCACUGCUUCCAGCGGGUGCAGGAAUGCUUCUGCAUCAUUUGGCUGAUCAAAUCCAACUGUCUUAAGGAGUGGAAGGAGGCUUAGGUUUUCUGUGGGUCACCUUAGAGUGGUGAUUUGUUGGGAAUCAGGGUGCUGCUUAACUCCAGCCGGGGUCAGACAAGCUUGUACUUCUCUUCUGAGCCAAGGCUUGGAAUCAUAGAGUUGAUAAUGUUGGAAACGACCUCUAAGAUCAUCAAAUCCAAUCAUCAACCCACCACGGUGUUCCCAGUUAUUCAGCAAAUGAGUCAAAAGCUCCAUUCUCCUCUGGGAGAGAGGUGACUUUUUGUUUGCAGUGUCAGCUUCUCAGUCCCAGCUUAGUGAAGUAAAUACAAUUUUGAGAAGUUUCCUUUCUUCCCUUUUUUUUUAACCCAGGAAAGUUGCUUUUGCAAGGUGUGAUGCUGAUUUGCUGCCUCCCGUGACACUGAGAGGUGACAAAGAACCAUUUCCACUAUCAAAUCUUUAUAACUGCUCCCAGCCAGAGGAUUGUUUUCCCUAUGGUGUGUUUUCCUUUCUUUUAUUGUGUUAUUUCAUCACUUUAAUACCCUUGCUUGUAUUUCUUCAGCUCAUAGCUAUAGAAAGUAACUUCAGCUGUAGCUGUCCCGCAGCCAAACUGAUGUGCUCCGUGAAGGAGGCAGUAUCCUGUGGGUGACCUUACAGUGACUUCACUUGAUGCCUCACAGUAACCUAGAGGUAGUGAUGCUGUAAAAAAAAAAGGUUUAGUGAGAGGUGUAAAUACAAAUGCCAUGAGAUCACAUAUUCCAAACUAUAACCGGCUGCAGACACUUGGAAGAAAAUCUACUCAAAGUCCUCUUGGAAAAAACUGUCAAGCACUUAAUAAAUUUUUCCACAACCCCA
Molecule: long non-coding RNA, 2335 nt
Filed under: Coturnix japonica (Japanese quail)
Lineage: Eukaryota; Metazoa; Chordata; Aves; Galliformes; Phasianidae
Description: lncRNA (ENSCJPG00005013581.1)
Source: RNAcentral